Molecule: non-coding RNA, 27 nt
Filed under: Rattus norvegicus (Norway rat)
Lineage: Eukaryota; Metazoa; Chordata; Mammalia; Rodentia; Muridae
Source: RNAcentral
UGCUCUUCAAGUCCCUGACCUUUAGCA